This 590-nucleotide ribosomal RNA is filed under the name Streptomyces fradiae. RNAcentral describes it as "bacterial SSU rRNA". It matches the Rfam family "Bacterial small subunit ribosomal RNA", at positions 41 to 648 of the family's 1533-position model. Lineage: Bacteria; Bacillati; Actinomycetota; Actinomycetes; Kitasatosporales; Streptomycetaceae. The record is from RNAcentral.
GGCGUGCUUAACACAUGCAAGUCGAACGAUGAAGCCCUUCGGGGUGGAUUAGUGGCGAACGGGUGAGUAACACGUGGGCAAUCUGCCCUUCACUCUGGGACAAGCCCUGGAAACGGGGUCUAAUACCGGAUAACACUCUCUCUCGCAUGGGAGAGGGUUGAAAGCUCCGGCGGUGAAGGAUGAGCCCGCGGCCUAUCAGCUAGUUGGUGAGGUAGAAGCUCACCAAGGCGACGACGGGUAGCCGGCCUGAGAGGGCGACCGGCCACACUGGGACUGAGACACGGCCCAGACUCCUACGGGAGGCAGCAGUGGGGAAUAUUGCACAAUGGGCGAAAGCCUGAUGCAGCGACGCCGCGUGAGGGAUGACGGCCUUCGGGUUGUAAACCUCUUUCAGCAGGGAAGAAGCGAAAGUGACGGUACCUGCAGAAGAAGCGCCGGCUAACUACGUGCCAGCAGCCGCGGUAAUACGUAGGGCGCAAGCGUUGUCCGGAAUUAUUGGGCGUAAAGAGCUCGUAGGCGGCUUGUCACGUCGGUUGUGAAAGCCCGGGGCUUAACCCCGGGUCUGCAGUCGAUACGGGCAGGCUAGAGUU